UUGAACGCUGGCGGCAUGCUUUACACAUGCAAGUCGGACGGCAGCACAGAGGAGCUUGCUUCUUGGGUGGCGAGUGGCGAACGGGUGAGUAACGCAUCGGAACGUACCGAGUAAUGGGGGAUAACUGUCCGAAAGGACAGCUAAUACCGCAUACGCCCUGAGGGGGCAAGCGGGGGAUCUUAGGACCUCGCGUUAUUCGAGCGGCCGAUGUCUGAUUAGCUGGUUGGCGGGGUAAAGGCCCACCAAGGCGACGAUCAGUAGCGGGUCUGAGAGGAUGAUCCGCCACACUGGGACUGAGACACGGCCCAGACUCCUACGGGAGGCAGCAGUGGGGAAUUUUGGACAAUGGGCGCAAGCCUGAUCCAGCCAUGCCGCGUGUCUGAAGAAGGCCUUCGGGUUGUAAAGGACUUUUGUCAGGGAAGAAAAGGGGCAUGUUAAUACCGUGCUCUGAUGACGGUACCUGAAGAAUAAGCACCGGCUAACUACGUG
RNAcentral lists this ribosomal RNA (489 nucleotides) under uncultured bacterium. RNAcentral's name for it is "partial 16S ribosomal RNA". It matches the Rfam family "Bacterial small subunit ribosomal RNA", at positions 30 to 507 of the family's 1533-position model. The record is from RNAcentral.